UCUCACCUGGGUUGUGGUAAUGUUGGAUUCUGGUGUAACAAAGGCAAAACAGUUACUAAUUUAGUUUUUGGGAUUAUAGGCUUGAUGAUGUCACCUUUCCUAUAUGUCACCAUCCUCUGCCUAGCUUCAAUUGUUUAAGGUUGCCUUGGGCUGGUUGCAUUUCCUCAACUCAGGAUUGCAGUUGUUCUCAUGGCAGCUUGCUCUACCCAACUGUCUCCUUUUGGCUUCCAUGCGUGCCAGGAAUUACUCCUACCUUGUUUGUGUGUGUGUGUGUGUGUGUGUGUGUGUGUGUGUUAAUUUGUUUGGCUUUUUAAGCCUAAGUGUGAUAACAGCUUUUCUGUUACUAGGUCUUUCUCUACAUCUUAUCCCUACAUUUAUAAAUUGCCCCUUUAAUGAACUAGCCUCCAACUGCCCUGUUUUGAAUAUACCAUGCACUAUUUGUG
Molecule: long non-coding RNA, 443 nt
Filed under: Pan troglodytes (chimpanzee)
Lineage: Eukaryota; Metazoa; Chordata; Mammalia; Primates; Hominidae
Description: long non-coding RNA NONPTRT016029
Source: RNAcentral